Molecule: non-coding RNA, 753 nt
Organism: Salvia hispanica
Lineage: Eukaryota; Viridiplantae; Streptophyta; Magnoliopsida; Lamiales; Lamiaceae
Source: RefSeq, a predicted model, not a curated record
UCAAGGUGCGAAACCUCUUCCACACACAGGAAGAAAGUGCUUGUCCUCUUCAAUCGGCAAUGGAAGUUUAUGCACAAGGGCUCGAUUUAGCCUGCGCAAGCACAAAGUUAAAGCCGCCUCUCAAGGAUCUCACUUAGCAGAAGAUAUUGGUUGUCUCAGUACUCGUCGGCGGAAUUUCAUUCGAAUGGAAUCGAUAUUGCAACUAUAUUAUGCAAAUCUUCAGACAUUUCAGUUUGAUUUUUAUGACCACCUAAUGUCGACGACAACAACCGACAGUGACAUGAUACCUGAGUGUGUUUGUGGUCGAGGCAAGAUGAAGUUGUUACGUGCUGGGAAAGAUGCCAAACACUGCGGUAGGUGGUUUUACAAGUGUCCGAAUGAUGCAAAUCAGUCGGGGUCUUUCUUGUGGUGUGACGACAAUCAUAGUAGGAUUGGUGAUGGUACGCAACCCGACUAUGUCUUGAACCAAACGUACCGCCCAACAAAAAUAGGCGCAACACCGAUGAGGUGAAGAAUAAAAGGAGAGCUAGCAGUGGACACGUUUGUGGAGUUUGUGACCGGUGCCAAGCUGAAAUUAAAAUGAACUUUGUGCUAGUUGUCAUGGGUUUGGUAUUGUUAUUGUUGGGGGUUAUUUUAGGGAAACUAUUCUAGUUUGCACUUGGGCUUAUUUUUAAAAUUGAAUUGUAGGAUUCCUUCACUGCAUGAACUUAUUGAUGGUGGUUUUUGUAUUUAAUCUAUUUAACUAUUUUGCAA